RNAcentral lists this ribosomal RNA (500 nucleotides) under uncultured bacterium. RNAcentral describes it as "partial 16S ribosomal RNA". It matches the Rfam family "Bacterial small subunit ribosomal RNA", at positions 30 to 523 of the family's 1533-position model. The record is from RNAcentral.
AUUGAACGCUGGCGGAAUGCUUUACACAUGCAAGUCGAACGGCAGCACGGGGGCAAUCAUGGUGGCGAGUGGCGAACGGGGGAGUAAUACAUCGGAACGUGCCCAGUCGUGGGGGAUAACGUAGCGAAAGUUACGCUAAUACCGCAUACGAUCUACGGAUGAAAGCGGGGGACCGUAAGGCCCUGCGCGUUUGGAGCGGCCGAUGUCAGAUUAGGUAGUUGGUGAGGUAAAGGCUCACCAAGCCGACGAUCUGUAGCUGGUCUGAGAGGACGACCAGCCACACUGGGACUGAGACACGGCCCAGACUCCUACGGGAGGCAGCAGUGGGGAAUUUUGGACAAUGGGCGCAAGCCUGAUCCAGCCAUUCCGCGUGCAGGACGAAGGCCUUCGGGUUGUAAACUGCUUUUGUACGGAACGAAAAGGCUCUGGUUAAUACCUGGGGCUGAUGACGGUACCGUAAGAAUAAGCACCGGCUAACUACGUGCCAGCAGCCGCAGUAA